GUUGUACCAAACUAUCUGGGUCCAUUAGAGGAGAGGAGUUGUACCAAACUAUCUGGGUCCAUUAGAGGAGAGGCGUUGUACCAAACUAUCUGGGUCCAUUAGAGGAGAGGAGUUGUACCAAACUAUCUGGGUCCAUUAGAGGAGAGGCGUUGUACCAAACUAUCUGGGUCCAUUAGAGGAGAGGAGUUGUACCAAACUAUCUGGGUCCAUUAGAGGAGAGGAGUUGUACCAAACUAUCUGGGUCCAUUAGAGGAGAGGAGUUGUACCAAACUAUCUGGGUCCAUUAGAGGAGAGGAGUUGCACCAAACUAUCUGGGUCCAUUAGAGGAGAGGAGUUGUACCAAACUAUCUGGGUCCAUUAGAGGAGAGGCGUUGUACCAAACUAUCUGGGUCCAUUAGAGGAGAGGAGUUGUACCAAACUAUCUGGGUCCAUUAGAGGAGAGGAGUUGUACCAAACUAUCUGGGUCCAUUAGAGGAGAGGAGUUGUACCAAACUAUCUGGGUCCAUUAGAGGAGAGGAGUUGUACCAAACUAUCUGGGUCCAUUAGAGGAGAGGCGUUGUACCAAACUAUCUGGGUCCAUUAGAGGAGAGGAGUUGUACCAAACUAUCUGGGUCCAUUAGAGGAGAGGAGUUGUACCAAACUAUCUGGGUCCAUUAGAGGAGAGGAGUUGUACCAAACUAUCUGGGUCCAUUAGAGGAGAGGCGAUGUACCAAACUAUUUGGGUCCAUUAGAGGAGAGGCGUUGUACCAAACUAUCUGGGUCCAUUAGAGGAGAGGCGUUGUACCAAACUAUCUGGGUCCAUUAGAGGAGAGGAGUUGUUAGGUGUUGCUUUAUCUGUUUUUUAAACCAGGUUUGCUGUUUAUUUGAGCAAUAUGAGAUGGAAGGAAGUUCCAUGCAAUAAGGUCUCUAUAUAAUACUGUACGCUUUCUUGAAUUUGUUCUGGAUUUGGGGACUGUGAAAAGACCCCUGGUGGCAUGUCUGGUGGGAUAGGUACGUGUCAUUGCUGUGUGUAAGUUGACUAUGCAAACAAUUUUGAAUUUUCCACACAAAAUGUUUCUUAUAAAAACAAGUGAUGCAGUCAGUCUCUCCUCAACUCUGAGCCAAGAGAGACUGGCAGUAUAGUAUGUACAUCAGCCCUCUGAUUACAAUGAAGAGCAAAACGUGCCGCUCUGUUCUGGGCCAGCUGCAGCUUAACUAGGUCUUUCUUAGCAACACUGGACCACACGACUGGACAAUAAUCAAGAUUAAACAAAACUAGAGCCUGCAGGUCUUGCUUUGUGGAGAGCGCUGUUAAAAAAGCAGAGCAUAUCUUUGUUACGGACAUCUCUCCCCAUCUUUACAACCAUUGAAUCUAUGUGUUUUGACCAUGACAGGUUACAUUCUAAGGUAACACCAAGUAAUUUAGUCUCCUCAACUUGUUCAACAGCCACACCAUUCAUUACCAGAUUCAGCUGAGGUCUAGAACUUAAGGAAUGAUUUGUACCAAAUACAAUGCUCUUAGUUUUAGAGAUGUUCAGGACCAGUUUAUUACUGGCCACCCAUUCCAAAACAGACUGCAACUCUUUGUUAAGGGUUUCAGUGACUUCAUUAGCUGUGGUUGCUGAUGUGUAUAUGGUUGAAUCAUUAGCAUACGUGGACACACAUGCUUUGUUUAAUGCCAGUGGCAGGUCAUUGGUAAACAUUUAAAAGAGUAGAGGUCCUAGAAAGCUGCCCUGCGGUACACCACACUAUUUAUGUUUGACAUUAGAGAAGCUUCCAUUAAAGAAAACCACCUGAGUUCUAUUAAAUAGAUAGCUCAGAGACCACAAUAUGGCAGAGGUUGAAAAGCCAUAACACAUACAUUUUCUCAACAACAGGUUUUAGUCAAUAAUGUCAAAUGGCUGUAGUGAAAUCUAACAGUACAGCUCCCACAAUCUUCUUAUCAACUUAUUUCAACUAAUCAUCAGUCAUUAGUGUCAGUGUAGUACAUGUUGAGUUCCCUUCUCUAUAAGCAUGCUGAAAGUCUGCUGUUCAUUUCUUUAUAGAGAAAUAGCAUUGUAUUUGCUGUAAGACCAUUUGUUCCAAUAGUUUGCUAAGAGCUUAUAGGCCUGCUGUUAGAACCAGUAACCAAUCACUUUGGCUUCCCUCCAGGCCUGAGGACAAAGACGUUCCUCUCAUCUCAGAUUAAAAAUAUGACAGACAGGAGUGGCUAUAGAGUUAGCUACCAUCCCCAGUAGCUUUCCAUCUCAGUUGUCAAUGCCAGGAGGUUUUCCGUUAUUGAUCAUUAACAAUCAUUUCCCCACCUCUCCCACACUAACUUUACAAAAUACAAACUUGCAAUGGUUUUCUUUCAUUACUUGUUUUUCUUAUGCAUGAAUAUGAUGGCUCACUGUUCAUUGUUGGAAUUUCCUGCCUAAGUUUGACCACUUUGCCAAUGAAGUAAUCAUUAAAAUAAUUGGAAACAUCAAAUGGUUUUGUGAUGAAUAAGCCAUCUGAUUUGAUGAAAGUUGAAUUUGUCUUUCUGACCGUUAUUUCAUUGACAGUUUUUUCCCCAUCAUUCUUUAUUGAUCUUGGAUUUGGAUUGGAAAUUAAGCGGUGAUUUAUGAAAACAACAUGCUAGUGUUGUAACUUUUAUUUCUCUUUUUAUUUAGAAAUGUUCACCGAUAUCAAAAUGUUUUUUUGUGAUGUAAAUAAUGCAUAAUUUCAUAAUUCAAUUCUUAUUAUUUUUCUUCAAAAAUGUCUCUCAAACAAUGAAGUUUGAGAUCUGAAUAACAAUCUAUUAUCUUUAUUGUUCCUGUAGUAUAUCUACACCAUAGUACACCCCUUCAAAUUAGUGUAUUCAGUUAUUUCAGCCACACCCAUUGCUGAAUAAAACCGAGCACACACCCAUGCAAUCUUCAUAGACAAACAGUGGCAGUAGGAUGGCCUUGCUGAAGGGCUCAGUGACAUUCAACUUGGCACCGUCAAAGGAUGCCACCUUUCAAACAAGUCAGUUUGUCAAAUUUCUGCCAAAUUUCUACUUCCAGAUUAACUGUAAUGUCAACAUCAUUGUAAUAGCCAAUUUCUCCCCUUUCCAACAAAAUAAAUGACAUGACCUAAACGCUGCCCGUUUCUGCAAAGCAAUGAGCCCCGUCGGGUCUUUUGAAAAGUGGAGGGUGGGGAAGCGAAACUAAUGCGUGAUAGUGAGAAGGAGAGGAGAUGUGGGGGAAAAUUGAUAUUUUUCACUCGAUCUGUCCAACUUUUCACCUUAUCGCCUCUAAAAUGUAAAUAAAACACUAUAAAGAGUUUA
Long non-coding RNA from Oncorhynchus tshawytscha (Chinook salmon), 3268 nucleotides. The record is from Ensembl. Lineage: Eukaryota; Metazoa; Chordata; Actinopteri; Salmoniformes; Salmonidae.